RNAcentral lists this ribosomal RNA (253 nucleotides) under uncultured bacterium. Its description in RNAcentral is "partial 16S ribosomal RNA". It matches the Rfam family "Bacterial small subunit ribosomal RNA", at positions 524 to 776 of the family's 1533-position model. The record is from RNAcentral.
GACAGAGGAGGCGAGCGUUAUCCGGAGUUAUUGGGCGUAAAGCGUCUGUAGGUGGCUUUUUAAGUCUGCCGUCAAAUCCCAGGGCUCAACCCUGGCCAGGCGGUGGAGACUACUAAGCUGGAGUACGGUAGGGGCAGAGGGAAUUUCCGGUGGAGCGGUGAAAUGCGUAGAUAUCGGAAAGAACACCAAGGGCGAAGGCACUCUGCUGGGCCGAAACUGACACUGAGAGACGAGAGCUAGGGGAGCAAAUGGG